Momordica charantia (bitter melon) is the source of this 698-nucleotide non-coding RNA. NCBI's taxonomy places the organism in Eukaryota, Viridiplantae, Streptophyta, Magnoliopsida, Cucurbitales, Cucurbitaceae. The record is from RefSeq and is a predicted model, not a curated record.
GUGGUCUCAUUAUAUUACAAUUAUUAUGUUACAUGUGUCGAAAUGUUGGAUGUUUGCUAAAUGUAGUUUGUGGAGGGAUGGGUGGUCCCAUUUCAAUAGUAUUACAUGUAUAGAAGAGUUUGAAUAUGUUAUAGUUUAUUGAGGGACGGGUGGUUCUAUACCUAUCAUGUUUAAAUGUGUUAUUUGUAUCAUAUUUCAGGUAUGAUUUUAGGAUGUUAUAGUAGAGGUCAUGUUGAAAUUUUGACACUUUUUUGUUUGAGCUUGCGCAAUGUCAUUGCUAUCGAGGUAAUUGAAUUAAUUAUGGUUAAGUUUGUUGACUUAAUUUUGUUGUGUAAAAAUAUAAUCCUAUUGAGAAUAUAUUUUGUGCACAAGUUGGGAACUAUUAGGAUAUUAAUGGAAGUGUGUAGUAGAUUUACAGCAAUAGAAGUGGGUGAUAGAGUUAGAGUCAUGGAAGCAAUGGAUGCUCAUCAACAUUCAUGCCUUGUUGUAUGCAUAGUGUCCAAGACAACCUGGAUCAACGUAAUGUCUUUCUUAUCCCAAAGAUGUCGACAAUUAUGAAUGCAACUAAUUGGUGGCUGAGCAUCGUUGUUGGGGUUGGUGUGUACGGAAUAUGUUUAAUUCUGUAAUUCUGUAAUUUGUAUUUGAGAAUACUAGUAUAUUCUAAAUUAAUAUAUUAGCUUCCUUGUUCAUGUUUAAUA